UUGAGAUUGGUUGAUUAAUUGACUAGUUGCGGAUAAGGAAAUUAAAUACAAGGUACACUGAUAAUUUCUAAAAAAAUUUAAUGUCAGAAAUAUACUGCAUUUUUAUAAUUUACUCUAAAAUAUGCAUGUUUUCAAGCUGAGUUUAAUAAAUGGAUAUUCAUUUAAUGCUCAUUGCUAUUUGGCAGCUUAACUGUAGUUUAAAAGCCUUGAAAAAUCCUCAAAAACCUAAAAUGGGAAAGCUAAACUAAAGAACACAGGAAACAUGGAAAAUGUUGCAAAAACCUUACAACCUUGAACGAGGAACAUAAGACAUGAAAACAUCAGGGAGGGAACACAGAUGAUAACACAGGAGAGAAUACAGACGAUCCGACAAAGAACACACUAAAUAUACACACACAAAAGGAAACGAGGAAUUGGCAGACAGGCACGAAACACAGCUGACACUAAUCAGAUGAGAAGAGACCAGGAGGAGAAUACACCGAUGCAGGGCAGGGACUAUCAAAGUAAAACAGGAAUAAACACGAAUAUCGAACCAGGGACAAUACACUGAAGACAAGGGAGGUACAGAGAACACCUAAACACUGGAAAUAAUUAACAAAUAACUAGGAAACUAACUGACACAAUGAAUAUUAAUAAACACAAACAACCAAGGAGACUGCGGACCAUGACAAUUGGUUUAUUUAAAACAAAAGUUUAAAAAAAUACAAAAUGUUGUUUUCUCUAGUAGAAGAAAUUAAACACUAUCAGAAUAUUCUUUAUAAAUAGAUAGCAUUGUUGUGGAUUAUAAGGAAUAAGCAUUAACAUAUCUACUGUUAAGCUGUAAAAACAAGUAGACAUCUAACAUGAAUAUUUUAUAUGAUUAUUUUCAAAGAUAUUAAAGUAUAUAGUCAGUCUCACCUUACAGAUUUUUGUGUCCUAAUCGAUCCGCUGCAUCGUCCAUUGGCAAGGUGGUCGGAGUGUGUUCGAAGAAUGUGAUACCAAAAUUAGCUGUAAACACGAUAUUCUUUGACACAUCCAUCUAUGCCACAAUCUUCACGGAAAUCUGGACUAUGGCUAUGUGCAGAAUUAAUAUGACUCAGUAGGGAUUUGAGGGUCAGACCCACAAAAACGAUGUAGAUAACACAGCGCCAAAUCAUUUUGUUUUACUGGUCUGUGAACUACUUUUCCCAUAAAGUCAAGAUAACCAGGAUUAUUCCAUUAUGGGGUAGAAAUGGCUAUCCUAAUUCAGUGCCUUAUAACAGCUGUAGUAUAAAAGAGCGAACUAAACCAUUUCCGUACACAACCCCAUACUCCUGAGUUGGUACAGCCCACCUUCCCGCCUCUAGCUCCGUGCCUAAGCGGUUGGAUUGCAGGAUUUUGGGGUCUGGGUGUAGAUGCGAUACAGUUGGUACAGUGUGAAGAAAUUAAGGCACGCUAUGGAAAAACUGGACGAAAUAACAAUUGCCAAUCUGAAAGAAGCAAAUGUUGGAGAAGACCUGCUCUCAUCACUUUCACGAGAUGACAUCAAAGAUCUGUUUCCUGGUCCUGAACAUUGCCUCAGGCGUCGGGCUCUAUGGCUUGCAGUGCACAAAUGUGAAGAAUGGAACAUGCAGCAGCUGUGUUCAGAGCCCUUCCCAUGCUUUUCCCUUCCAGCACAGUACCACCUAAGAAGCUGGGCAUCUGUAGUGAGGCUUUUUUCCAUGUCCUAAAGACUUCAGAAGACCCUGAAGGCUACCUGCGUCAGCGACCCCUGGCUUGUCCAGUUCUGCUUGUCUCUGAAGGCAACUGCAUGAUAGCUGUUGGAACCACACCGGUGAGCACUUUUGACCGGAAGGAUCUUAAUGAGGGACUGCUCUAUCUGAUGGCAUAUUACUAUGCCCUCCACCUCACAUAUCCAUAGUGCAUUUCCACGCUGCUGUCUGUCUUGCAAACUGAAAUACUCAAAGACUCCAUCCAUGACCGAGAUUCAACCCCCUCUUACAAGAAGGCGCUUGGUGAGUGGAAGUCAUUCAUUGAGUGAGUCUCCCAGAUGACAGACUCCAUCUGCCUUGUUUAUCAGACUCAGUGUUAGUCAGUGAGGUUGUUUUUUUUUCUAUAGAAAAGUUGUUCAAAUGUAAAACACAUGUUUGUUUGUGUGGUCGUUAAACUUGUUCUUCUAAAAUGUUAUGUAAUAUAGGAUUUGAAAUAGUGAUUGUUUUAAGCUUCAGCAAAAUUUAUUUUUGAUACCAGCCAUGAGUGUGUUAUACUGUUAUUAUUCAUUUUAAGAGUAUCUGGAAUAUGCACUUCUUAUAUUGGCCAUGUUACACAGUACCCUGCUGAAAUGUAUAAUUUUAGGCAUGAUUCUCCUGGAACAGACCUCAGUGAGUUACUGACCCAUUGCUGUGUCAAUAAAAGCGCAAAAUCUAAGAGUGCUUUUGCUGUCUUAAUUUAAGAUGAAUUCCCUUAUUUUUAGUAGCUUUUUGAAGAGAUGGUGUCUUAUUCUCAGGAAUUUUUGCUGAUUAUUGUUCUCAGAGUCGAAACAUAAUUCUUAUAGUUAGCUC
This is a long non-coding RNA of Astatotilapia calliptera (eastern happy), 2519 nucleotides long. NCBI's taxonomy places the organism in Eukaryota, Metazoa, Chordata, Actinopteri, Cichliformes, Cichlidae. The record is from Ensembl.